This 468-nucleotide ribosomal RNA is filed under the name uncultured bacterium. RNAcentral describes it as "partial 16S ribosomal RNA". It matches the Rfam family "Bacterial small subunit ribosomal RNA", at positions 28 to 507 of the family's 1533-position model. The record is from RNAcentral.
GACGAACGCUGGCGGCGUGCUUAACACAUGCAAGUCGAACGGAAAGGCCCUGCUUUUGUGGGGUGCUCGAGUGGCGAACGGGUGAGUAACACGUGAGUAACCUGCCCUUGACUUUGGGAUAACUUCAGGAAACUGGGGCUAAUACCGGAUAGGAGCUCCUGCUGCAUGGUGGGGGUUGGAAAGUUUCGGCGGUUGGGGAUGGACUCGCGGCUUAUCAGCUUGUUGGUGGGGUAGUGGCUUACCAAGGCUUUGACGGGUAGCCGGCCUGAGAGGGUGACCGGCCAAAUUGGGACUGAGCUGCGGCACAGCCUACUACGGGAGGCAGCAGUGGGGAAUAUUGCACAAUGGGCGGAACCAUGAUGCAGCCAAGCCGCGUGCGGGAUGACGGCCUUCGGGUUGUAAACCACUUUCGCCUGUGACGAAGCGUGAGUGACGGUAAUGGGUAAAGAAGCACCGGCUAACUCCGUG